RNAcentral lists this ribosomal RNA (495 nucleotides) under uncultured bacterium. RNAcentral's name for it is "partial 16S ribosomal RNA". It matches the Rfam family "Bacterial small subunit ribosomal RNA", at positions 28 to 507 of the family's 1533-position model. The record is from RNAcentral.
GACGAACGCUGGCGGCGUGCCUAAUACAUGCAAGUAGAACGCUGAAGGAGGAGCUUGCUUCUCUGGAUGAGUUGCGAACGGGUGAGUAACGCGUAGGUAACCUGCCUGGUAGCGGGGGAUAACUAUUGGAAACGAUAGCUAAUACCGCAUAAUAUUGACUAUUGCAUGAUAGUCAGUUGAAAGGUGCAACUGCACCACUACCAGAUGGACCUGCGUUGUAUUAGCUAGUUGGUGGGGUAACGGCUCACCAAGGCGACGAUACAUAGCCGACCUGAGAGGGUGAUCGGCCACACUGGGACUGAGACACGGCCCAGACUCCUACGGGAGGCAGCAGUAGGGAAUCUUCGGCAAUGGACAGAAGUCUGACCGAGCAACGCCGCGUGAGUGAAGAAGGUUUUCGGAUCGUAAAGCUCUGUUGUAAGAGAAGAACGAGUGUGAGAGUGGAAAGCUCACACUGUGACGGUAUCUUACCAGAAAGGGACGGCUAACUACGUG